UGGGGAAUAUUGGACAAUGGGCGGAAGCCUGAUCCAGCCAUGCCGCGUGUGUGAAGAAGGCCUUUUGGUUGUAAAGCACUUUAAGCGAGGAGGAGGCUACUUGGAUUAAUACUCUAGGAUAGUGGACGUUACUCGCAGAAUAAGCACCGGCUAACUCUGUGCCAGCAGCCGCGGUAAUACAGAGGGUGCGAGCGUUAAUCGGAUUUACUGGGCGUAAAGCGUGCGUAGGCGGCUUCUUAAGUCGGAUGUGAAAUCCCUGAGCUUAACUUAGGAAUUGCAUUCGAUACUGGGAAGCUAGAGUAUGGGAGAGGAUGGUAGAAUUCCAGGUGUAGCGGUGAAAUGCGUAGAGAUCUGGAAGUAUGCCGAUGGCGAAGGCAGCCAUCUGGCCUAAUACUGACGCUGAGGUACGAAAGCAUGGGGAGCAAACAGG
RNAcentral lists this ribosomal RNA (430 nucleotides) under bacterium. RNAcentral describes it as "partial 16S ribosomal RNA". It matches the Rfam family "Bacterial small subunit ribosomal RNA", at positions 355 to 776 of the family's 1533-position model. The record is from RNAcentral.